Molecule: ribosomal RNA, 301 nt
Filed under: uncultured bacterium
Lineage: Bacteria
Description: partial 16S ribosomal RNA
Rfam family: Bacterial small subunit ribosomal RNA
Source: RNAcentral
CAGCAGCCGCGGUAAUACAGAGGAUGCAAGCGUUAUCCGGAAUGAUUGGGCAUAAAGUGUCUAUAGGUGGCUUUUCAAGUCCGCCAUUAAAUCCCAAGGCUCAACCCUAGACAGGCAGUGGAAACUACCAAGGUGGAGUACGAUAGGGGCAGAGGGAAUUUCUGGUGGAGUGGUGAAAUGUGUUGAGAUCGGAAAGAACACCAAUGGCGAAAGCACUCUGCUGGGCCGACACUGACACUGAGAGACGAAAGUUAGGGGAGAAAAUGGGAUUAGAUACCCGGGUAGUCCCUGUCUCUUAUAC